Molecule: long non-coding RNA, 253 nt
Filed under: Elaeis guineensis (African oil palm)
Lineage: Eukaryota; Viridiplantae; Streptophyta; Magnoliopsida; Arecales; Arecaceae
Description: long non-coding RNA (EGUI_LNC080580)
Source: RNAcentral
UAUGGUACCAAAAUGAGUCGUAUAUAUUAGUAACUCAAGCGAAACAAGUAAUAUAUUUGAAGGAUUUAAAGUAUCGAGGUAAUUGGCAUGUCAUACAAAAAAUAAUACCUAGAGACGUAUAUGACAUACCAACUCGAUUAGAGAUAGAUGAAAUUUUAGAUUUACAUGAAGAUGAAGAUUUUCAGCAAGAAGAACAAAUAUUAGCCGAGUUUUUGGUUGAUGAAGAACUUGUAACGGCACCUUUGAAUAGGGC